This is a long non-coding RNA of Myxocyprinus asiaticus (Chinese sucker), 1516 nucleotides long. RefSeq lists it as uncharacterized. The record is from RefSeq and is a predicted model, not a curated record. Lineage: Eukaryota; Metazoa; Chordata; Actinopteri; Cypriniformes; Catostomidae. The transcript has 3 exons.
GCAACUGCAGCUGAUGUGAGGAGGCUGGUGAGGAAUGAGGAUCUAAAUGCAGCUUUUAAUGGAAACCAAAGAUAAACAAAGUACUCAGAACAAAACGAAACAAAACACGGGAAACCAGGCACAAAACGUGACAACACAUGUAAGGACUGACCAAGAAACCAGGGGAAACAAGAGCUUAAAUACAAUUGGGCAAACAAGGAAACAAGGAACACCUGGGGAAAACAAUCAGGGGAAAACCAAUCAUGAAAAGAAACUAAAAAGGACUACAAAAUUAACAGGAAACAGGAACGGGGAACUAAACAAGAAUUUCAAAUAAAAAUCUAAGCAAAAACACAGGGAAUACGUGACAGCUGUUGCUUAAGCAGGGCUUUAAAGAAAAGAUCAUGGCAAAAAUGCUUGGAUGCUCAACAUCAUACCUUUAUCACAAACUGCACGUCCUAGGAAUAAGAAUGAGGGAUCGAUUUACCCAAAUUGAUGAUGAUGAUCUUGAGCAACAUGUACGAAGCUUCAUGAACAGUAUCCAAAAUCAGGUUAUGAGAUGAUGCAAGGAUACCUGUCAGCUGAAGGGAUACAUGUGCAGAGGCAACGUGUGCGUAAUGCACUUAGUAACAUUAUCCCAGCAGCAGCAGCUCAACGGUGGAGCUAUGCUGUUGCAAGAUGGACAUAUUUUGUCCCGUUUCCAAACAGUCUUUGGCACAUCGAUGGGCACAUGCGUCUUAUUAGAUGGGGAAUAGUGACACACGGAGGGAUAGAUGGACACUCACGGGUCAUCACUUACCUGAGAGCAAACCUCGACAACACUGCUUUGACAGUGUUGGCCGGUUUUGUCAGAGCAACUUUUCAGUAUGGAUUUCCUUCCAGAGGUCUGACAGUGGUGGUGAAAACACUUUGGUUACUCUGCUUAUGAAUUUGAUCUAUGGGGAUGAACGGAGGAGUCAUAUCACAGGAAGAUCAGUACACAACCAGCAUAUUGAGAGGCUCUGGAGGGAUGUUUUUACCCAGGUUAUUCAAUACUUCUACCACCUGUUUUAUUACUUUGAGGAAGAGCAAAUUCUGGAUCCUGACAAUGACAUACACAGAUAUUGUGUACAACAAGUUUACCUCCCAGUUAUUCAGGAAAGACUGGACACUUUCAAAACAGCAUGGAACAAUCACAGACUACGAACUGAGAGGAACUGUACCCCUAACCAGAUAUGAAUGGAAGGUAUGGUGGCUAGCCGUCAACAUGACACAACGGCCAUCAACAAUGUUUUCAGCCAAGACCCGUACAAUGAAGAAAUGGAGACCAUGCUAGGGCGAUAUGAACUCAUCCAUAACUCAUCUGGAGGUUAAUCAGGAUGACCUUGACAGAGCUGUAGUUGUUAGGCAACCACACGUUAACUUGAAUCAUGGAGAACUGCAAAUACUUAAAGAUGCCCUGGUAGGAAUUACUGACUUCAAGGAAAAAUAUUUGACCAGCUGCAGAGUUAUUACCAGACUUCAUCAACAGUAGCUGAACAAUGUGCAAUUACACAAC